AACGAACGCUGGCGGCGCGCCUAAUACAUGCAAGUCGAGCGAGAAGACGUAGCAAUACGUUUGUAAAGCGGCGAACGGGUGAGGAAUACAUGGGUAACCUACCCUCGAGUGGGGAAUAACUAGCCGAAAGGUUAGCUAAUACCGCGUACGCUUCUUGGACUUCGGUUCAGGGAGGAAAGCGAUACCGUGGGUAUCGCGCUCUUGGAUGGGCUCAUGUCCUAUCAGCUUGUUGGUGAGGUAACGGCUCACCAAGGCUUCGACGGGUAGCUGGUCUGAGAGGACGAUUAGCCACACUGGCACUGCGACACGGGCCAGACUCCUACGGGAGGCAGCAGUAAGGAAUAUUGCGCAAUGGGCGAAAGCCUGACGCAGCGACGCCGCGUGGGGGA
RNAcentral lists this ribosomal RNA (389 nucleotides) under uncultured bacterium. RNAcentral describes it as "bacterial SSU rRNA". It matches the Rfam family "Bacterial small subunit ribosomal RNA", at positions 29 to 408 of the family's 1533-position model. The record is from RNAcentral.